RNAcentral lists this long non-coding RNA (288 nucleotides) under Physcomitrium patens. RNAcentral describes it as "long non-coding RNA (PPAT_LNC002532)". Lineage: Eukaryota; Viridiplantae; Streptophyta; Bryopsida; Funariales; Funariaceae. The record is from RNAcentral.
UUGUUGGAGUUUUUAGGAUAGCUGGGUCUUUUUUAAAAUUUCUAAUAAGCUAUUUCAUGCAAGAUGAGGAGCUAUGAUAAGAGAGAUUCAAGGUAAUUUCUAAAUAAGAAUUUUGAGGCAACAACUACAAUAAGUGGUUAAUUUUUUUCUCCUUAGUUUGGCUCUUAUUUUCUUAAGAUUUAUUUAUGGACUUUUUCAAUUUGAAUUUUGUAGCUUGAACUAAAUUUAAUAAGCUAAAAUUUAUUUAAAUUAGAUUAAAAAGAGAGUGAAGAUUUUGCAUGGAGGUAA